UAACAGUGCUGUCCAUAUUCUUCAGGAUUUCCUGGUAUUGCUGGUUCCCCUGGUGGACCUGGCAUUCCUGGACGACCAGGUUUGGAUGGACUGCCUGGUCAGCCUGGAUUUCCUGGACCCAAAGGAGAGCCUGGUUUUGGUCUACCUGGCCCUCCAGGUCCGACAGGAUUCCCAGGCAGUAAAGGUGUCUUCGGUACUAAAGGUGAUCCUGGUUUCUCUGGAAGCCCUGGUGGACCAGGUCGUCCAGGACUUGACGGUGCCCCUGGACCUAAAGGUGAUCCUGGUUUUCCUGGUGGUCCUGGUCCUCGUGGCCCCCCGGGGCUCCCUGCCUUUGGUACUCAGGGCCCCCCUGGUCCUCCGGGAGCUGCUGGUCCUCUGGGGUCUCCUGGUAUGCUUGCAGUUUUUCUAAGUAGUUUCGCUUUCACAACGAAGCACACAUGUCUUCAC
Molecule: long non-coding RNA, 447 nt
Filed under: Sinocyclocheilus grahami
Lineage: Eukaryota; Metazoa; Chordata; Actinopteri; Cypriniformes; Cyprinidae
Description: lncRNA (ENSSGRG00000039923.1)
Source: RNAcentral